RNAcentral lists this ribosomal RNA (484 nucleotides) under uncultured bacterium. Its description in RNAcentral is "partial 16S ribosomal RNA". It matches the Rfam family "Bacterial small subunit ribosomal RNA", at positions 29 to 507 of the family's 1533-position model. The record is from RNAcentral.
AUUGAACGCUAGCGGGAUGCUUUACACAUGCAAGUCGAACGGCAGCGCGGACUUCGGUCUGGCGGCGAGUGGCGAACGGGUGAGUAAUGUAUCGGAACGUGCCCAGUAGCGGGGGAUAACUACGCGAAAGCGUAGCUAAUACCGCAUACGCCCUACGGGGGAAAGCAGGGGAUCGUAAGACCUUGCACUAUUGGAGCGGCCGAUAUCGGAUUAGCUAGUUGGUGAGGUAACGGCUCACCAAGGCGACGAUCCGUAGCUGGUUUGAGAGGACGACCAGCCACCUGGGGGUGGGGACGGGCCCAGGCCCCCGGGGGGAGGGACGAGGGGGGAUUUUUGGCAAAUGGGGGAAACCUUGACACAGCGACCCGGCGUGGGAGAGGAGGCCCUUCGGGUUGUAAAGAAUUUUGGGGGGGAAAGAACCUAAGCGGCAUAAAACCCCGAGGAACUGACGGUACCUGAAAAAAAAGCCCCGGCUAACUACGUG